UGCUUAGAGGACUAGGAGAGGGGCCGCCGUCUGCUGCUGGCUGGAGCCUGGGCGCCGGCUCCGUCUGGUUGGUGGUGGCCGACGGAGCGGUAGGAGGGCGGCCGGCAGCGGGAGCUUCUCUUGCCGGGCAGGAGGAAGAGUAGAAGAGAGAGGCACCCACGCAUGCUGGAGGCUGGAGCCUGCGCCACGGCGGCUCGCCUCGCUGCGAUUGGUGGUGAAGUCGGACGCUGCACCUCGGCCAGAGUGGUGGAGAUGUCGUUGGGUUCAUCCAUAUGGCUCCAAAUGAAAAUUACAUUACUUUGUUAUGGAUGAAGAGUAUUGCGUUGUGCAGAUAUACUGCAGUUUCCUCAUCCCCUCAUCUGUGGGUGGACAGGUUCCACAGUGUUGCCACGGAUGACCUGAUUUCAGUACCCAUGUCUGGCUGAAGAGUAUCUGGUUGUGACUGGAUACUGCAGUUUCUGGAUCUCAUCCUCUGUGGGUGGACAGGAUAGUAGAGAGCAGUUUACAGCCUGAGACCCAUCACUAGGUUUCUCCAUCUUGCUGGUAGUGAACUGAUGUCCGGAAGUUUGAUGGCUGAAGAGUGUACCAUUGCGUAUAUAUCCUUCAAUUCCUGCAUUUUUUCAUCUGUAGAAAGACAAGUAGGUUGAUUCCCCACCUUGGUUAUUGUCCAGAGUACUUCAUGAAACAUGGGAAGGGAGAUACCUCCUUAAGGUAGGUUUCCUUGGCUUUGCAGGUAUACCCAGUGUUGGGAUGGCUAGAGGAACUGGUGGUUGUGUCGUUAAUUGUUUCAGAAACCUCCAGCUGUCUCACAGUGGGUAUACGAAUUUGCAUUCAAAAUAGUAGUAUGUAAUAGUUCCUCUGUUUGCAAAUCUGCACUGCCCUUAUCUUCAAAAAGUUUUAUUGCUGUUUCUGGUCAUACUCCUUCUCUGGGGAGAAACUCUCCUGAUGUGGAGAGACUUUUCUAUUACCUGAGAGUCUGUUUCAGGUUUUUUCAGAAAUGCCUCUGCCAGUCUUUUGGGCAUUUUUAGCAUGUGUAUUGGUUUUUGUGUUUUUGUCCACUUAGGACCAUUAGUUUCUUGAAUAUGUUAGAUAAGAAGCCCUUCUAGAUCCACAGUUUUCCAUAAUUUUCUCUCAGUCUGUGGGAUGUCUUCUGUAGGGUUCACUGUUUUCUCUCCAGUGUUGAAGCUGUGUGAAGCUCUGAAGUUGUCCUUAGUCUCACAUGGACACAUUAACUUUUCUUAGCGGUGAUUUCUGUGUCCCUUUGAGAAGAAAAGCGAGAUGAUGAAGGCAUUGUAUGGUCUAUGGGUAUUUGAGUCCUGUGUGUUUUCUGUUUGUAGUUUAGGUGCACAGGUUUAAGUUUCCCCACAGUAGACACACACCCUAUGUGUUUUCCUUGGAGGUUUUGGUUUCACAAUUGCCCUUUGGUAUUCAGUGGAUUUUGUAUCGCUUUUUGUGUCUUGUGUAAGGGAAGGGUUUAUUUCAGUCCUUUGCACGUGACCCCCCAGUUUCUUCAACCAUUGUGCCUUUGGUGUGCUUUUGGGGGAAAAGCAAGAAUCCCAUGGGUUCAGUGUUUAUAAUUGUGGGUUGAUUAUUUGGCUCCUUCGUUGUGUCCAUUUGGUUAUCUUUCAGUGUUCAUGCCGCUAAUGGAUGGAUUGGGCCACUGUAGGCUUUUUUUGUUUUGUGUGUUUUCUUGUAUUUUCUUCCUUUUUUUCUAUUUCUGUUUCCAAAGCUGGGUUUUCUAAAAUGAUAGCUACUUUUAUUGUGAUCGAGGGGUGUACGCCUGCAGGUUCAUUUCACUACAUGGCUAUACAGCAGACUUUUGAUGCUUGAGGUUCUAACAUACCCAUCACCCAGGUGGUGAACACAGCACCUGUUGGAUCAUUCUUCCUCCAAGGCUUCCUGUCUCCCUCCUUUAUUUGUCUGGUAGUACCCAGCAUCUGUUGAUUUCAUCUUUAUGUUCGUGUGUAUUCAGUGUUGAGUUUCUGCCUAUAAGUGAAAACUUGCGGUGUUCGGUCUUUUGUUCUUGCCUGAGUUCGCUUAGCAGAGUGGCCUGCAGUUCCAUCUAUGUUGCUGCUGAGGGCAUGAUUUUGUUUCUGUGUUUGAUUUUCCUUGGUGGCUUCUUAGUAUUCUGUGGUGCAUAGGUAUCACAUCUGAUUUUCUGUUGGUGGGCAUCUAGGUCAGGUCCACGUCUUUAUUCCUGUGAGUAGCACUCCUGUGAACUUGCAAAUGUCUGUGUCUUUUUGAUAGACACAUGUAUUUUUCCCUUGGGUAGAUAAAACCAAAGAUCGUAUUGGAUUGCUGGGUCAAAGCAAUCCAAAGAGGGUUGGAUUGCUGGGUGGAAGGGUAGCUCUGCUUGCUUUCCCUCUUUGUUGUUGUUGUUGAGAAAUCUUGAAACUGCUCUCCGCAGUUUGAGACCUAGUUUGCAUUACCCCAAGAGUGUAGCCGUGUUCGCUUUUAUCUACUGCUACACAAAUAUGUUUUGUGUUUGGACAAAUGGCCAUUCUGACUGGUGUGUGAUGGCACUGGUACCUCAUCUCUGAUGAUUAGUGAUGUUGAGCAUUUUCUCGUGUCUGUUGGUCUUUUUUAGGUCUUGUUUUGACUAGUGUGUUUGUGUCAUUUGCCCAUUUUUUACUUGGGUUAUUUUUCUGCUUCUUGAUUUAGGUAAGGUCCUCUAGAUUCUGGCUCUUCAAACUUGGUCAGAUGCUUGGUUUGGGAACAUUUUCUCCCAUCAUGUAGGCUGUGUGUUUACUGUGUUGGCAGUUGCUUUGCUGUGCAGCAGGUCUGUAGUUUCUUAGGCCAGACUUGUACUUUUGGUUUUUUGUUGCAUUUCUUUUGGGUACUAAUUGUCUAAGUGGUUUGCAAAAGCCUAUGUUGAGAAAGGUGUUUGAUAGGUUGUCUCUUAGGACUUUUAUAUUUGAAGUCUUCUAUUUCAAUCUUUGGUUGAUCUUGAGUUAAUUUUCCAUAUGAUGAGAAGCAGGGCCGCAGUGUUAAUUCUUCUGCACAUGGCUAGUCAUGUAUCCCAGUGCCAUUCGUCGCAUAGUGAGCCUUUUCUUUAUUUCUUAUUUCUGUGGUUUUGUCAAAGGUCAGAUGGUUGUAGUUCUGCCAGGCUACUUCUGCAUUUUCUAACUUGUCUAGGUGAAAGCUAGGUCAUUUCUUUCUGUUAUGAUCUAUUCUGAUUUCUUGGGUUCAAGAACUGAUAAAUUAAUUUUAGAAACUGAAGAAUCCACUUACAUUCUCAGGGUUAGAAACCAUCACCAUCACCCUAUUCUGUGAUGUUAUGGACUUUAUUGAGUUACAUCUUUGCCCUUUUCCUUCAAGUCUCUCCUCUGGAUUUAUUUUGUGAAAUUAGAUUCUGAAUCACAUUUUGUUGCAUAAACUGUGCUUGAGCAAAAAAAAGUUUGUUUUUUCUAAAAACAUCCUUAGUAUGCAUGGGGUGAAGAACAACAAACAUGUCUCCUGUUUCUACUAGUCACACCAUUACACUCCUUUCCAGCCUCUUUGAUGCUACAUAUGGCCAUUCAAAUGAGCCCUGGCUAAGUACAUGUGGAUAGAAGUUAGUGUUUGCUUCUUGCAAGCCUGGCCCGUGAUUCUAUGUUCUGAUUUAGAACAUAAAAAAGAAGUGAGACUUGCUGAAUGAGACAGAAGCACUCUUGAACGCUUCCUCUGACAAGCUCCAAGGCACACUAGUUGCCUUGCACUGCUUUGGACAGCUACUCAUUUGUUGGACAAUAAUUUCCCAACAUGGGGACAACCCAGAGCAUUUUCCACGUUGAUAUUCUGCUUCAAUUGCUCAUAGUUUUGAUCAAAGCUAGACAGUGACUAAUCCAGGAGACUCAGACCCCAGGCCAUCGUGGAGUCCUGUGGUUGAAGACAGGCUGGACCAUCAGAGGAAGAAAACAAGUAGGCCUUUUUUCUGGAUUUUCACCUGCUCUCUUUUCAGGAAACCUGAAGCCAGUUAAUGUUAUUCAGGCAUGACUGAAAAGAGAUUAUUUUGAGUUGUUUUGGUGGCACCAAGAAAUGUGCCAAUGUGACAGCCAAAAAAGCAGAAAGACCAAGGCAUUGAGAGUGUGAGAGCCACUGAUGAUGCUGGGUCUGGUAGGCUUUUGGAGAUCUCCCAGCCCCAAAACAGCCAAGCAACUCUGUCCUGGGUUGUGAGUGGGCUAACCCCCCUUGCACACCCAUGCUUGGAUUCUGGCACACAUGGCACCCACAGGAGGCAGUGCCCCCUCCGGGAGACCGGUUGGCAGGACCCUGUCUCCACACGUGAAGACAGCAGGCAGAACCCACACAUUCUCUACUUCUCCCAGUGCCAGUUGCCCGUGAGGGUUCACGAUGAGACCGACGGGUCCAACCUGCAGGCAGAGUUGCCACCCCAGCCUGUGGCAAAGUGGACCUUUUUCUGCCAGAGGGGUCUGCUUUCCCAUUGGCCAAAAAGGCCUCAAAUGACAGGGACAGAACAAGGCACAAGUGCCCAUUAGAGUGUCUGAGCCCACAUUCAGAGGUGGGUAGCACAGCUGCCCUGUGCAGGCCUCAGAAAGGAAAAGGAGAAAGAUGACAAAAGCAAGACACAAGAAAUGCAGCAAAAGCACACUAACACACACACUUGACACUCAUCUGGGGCAGGCCAUCCUCUCACUCAUCACCAGCAGUGCAGGCAGCCAAGAGCCGGGCAGGAGGCGGUGCCACCAUCCCCUGAGUUAGGGUCUGGAUCCAGGGAAGAACAUAGAGUCAACGGCCACUGACCUCAGGACCUGCAGUUUGCAGGGAGGGGAUGCUGUAAGAAGAACUGUUCCAGGUCACAGCUAAACAUGUCU
This is a long non-coding RNA of Symphalangus syndactylus (siamang), 4814 nucleotides long. RefSeq lists it as uncharacterized. NCBI's taxonomy places the organism in Eukaryota, Metazoa, Chordata, Mammalia, Primates, Hylobatidae. The record is from RefSeq and is a predicted model, not a curated record.